RNAcentral lists this long non-coding RNA (870 nucleotides) under Naja naja (Indian cobra). RNAcentral's name for it is "lncRNA (ENSNNAG00000008096.1)". Lineage: Eukaryota; Metazoa; Chordata; Lepidosauria; Squamata; Elapidae. The record is from RNAcentral.
CGGGCCUCAGGGCGUCGGCGGCGUCGGCGUGAACCGUGUGAGCGCGUUCACACGGGGCGCGCCGAGGAGAGGAGGGUCCGCGUCGACCCUUUCCCCAGAAACGUGUAACAAUGGCUGCUGCCCUAAAGUCAGAUGAAUACAAAAAUAAGCGUAAAAAGGAAGCAAAGGUGAGGAGCUUGAACUAGGUAGAAUUAUUGUUUAAAUUGCAGUAAUUUCCUUUUCACUUGUGUUCUGUUUCUUUAAGUCAUGGAUACAAAGGUAUGGCAUGGCUGGGGAAAUCCAUGGAUGUUACUUUUUCUUUAAACUCACUUUUUUUCUCUUUAUAGAAUGAAACUUCAGGAACUGCACAGUUGAGUUUUUUGAAAAAAGAUCUGAUUCCUGAAAGCUCCCAGAAAUUUCAUAAAACUGAUACUUUGGAAACCAUUUUAAAGGAUACAGGCAAAGAAAUCAAUGCUCUGUUAUCAAAGUAUGCACAGAUUUUGAGGCAAGUACAUUAUUUUACUUUUGACAGUUUCAACUUUCUUUUUUGAACACGUAUUCAGCUGUUGAUGUAACUGAUAUUUCCCAAAUUGUGUUUUAGUCCUUUUUAUUUACUAAGAAGCAAAAAUAAACCAACUGUUUGCCCGUUGUAACAAAAUGCUUUCAGCUAGAAAAACAGAUUUAAAAUAUAUAGCAAGAUCCAAAGUUAUUUAGUGUCUGUCUUCUGAACCAACAUACUCUUAACUGUGUACGUUGCAUUGGUAAAAUUCAGUUGUUUUGCUGCCUUGCUUCUGUCAGCAGUGUGUGUAGGGGAAUACUAUCUUGUAAUAACUCUCAGUGUAUCUUUCAUGUCUGCCCUGGCUAUUUGGAAGACCCUGGAGCUGUUUUAGG